Molecule: RNA transcript, 3718 nt
Organism: Mandrillus leucophaeus (drill)
Lineage: Eukaryota; Metazoa; Chordata; Mammalia; Primates; Cercopithecidae
Gene name: sister chromatid cohesion protein PDS5 homolog A pseudogene
Exons: 2
Source: RefSeq, a predicted model, not a curated record
GCAGGGGGGACCCGCGGAACGGCUUUGUGUGCAUCCUGACGAUGGGCGGCGGUGCAACCACCUGACAGAGGCUGGGGCACUAGAUGCACCUUCUGCCCGCAUGAGGAGGAGAGGCCGGUAGAGGACUGUGAACCAAAAGUUGUGCCCCGGGAUGGACUUCACCACACAGCCCAAGCCUGCCACAGCCCUCUGUGGCAUCGUGAGUGCCGCCGGGGAGAUCACUUACCCUCUGGGGGUAAAAGAGAUCACCAACAAGAUCACCACCGACGAGAUGAUCAAACACCUGAAGAUGGUAGUGAAAACCUUUAUGGAUAUGGCUGAGGACUCAGAAGAUGAAAAACAGCAGUGUCUCCCCACUAGCCUUGUAUCUUGCAUCUGAAUUCUCCCUCAGGAACCCCAAUAAAGAUGUGUGUCUCCUUGUAGCAUGUUGUUAGGCUGAUAUCUUUUGUAUCUAUGCCCCAGAAGGUCCAUAUACUUCCCAUGAUAAACUUAAGGACAUAUUUUUGUUUAUUACCAGACAAUUAAAAGGUUUGGAGGAUACAAAGAGUCCGCAGUUUAAUAGAUACUUUUAUUUAUUAGAGAAUUUAGCUUGGGUUAAAUCAUGUAACAUCUGCUUUGAAUUAGAAGAUUGCAAUGAAAUUUUCAUUCAGCUUUUUAGGACUUUCUUCUCAGUGAUCAACAAUAGCCACAAUAAGAAGGUACAAAUGCAUGUGCUAGAUUUGAUGAGUUAUAUCAUCAUGGAAGGAGACAGAGUUACUCAAGAGUUAUUGGACUCCAUUCUUAUUAACCUCAUUCCUGCCCAUAAGUACUUAAAUAGUCCUUUGACCUUGCAAAAGUGCUAUUGGAAAGAACAGUCCAGACUAUUGAGGCAUGCAUUGCCAAUUUUUUCAAUCAAGUCCUGGUGCUGGGAAGAUCAUCAGUAAGUGAUUUGUCAGAACAUGUAUUUGAUCUGAUUCAGGACCUUUUUGCUGUAGAUCCUCGUUUAUUAUUUCCAUCAUGCCACAGCUUGAAUUCAAACUAAAGAGCAAUGAUGGAGAAGAGUGAUUAGCUGUUGUUCAACUUCUAGCUAAAUUGUUUGGCUCCAAAGAUUCUGAUUUGGCAACACAAAAUUGUUCUCUUUGGCAAUGUUUUCUUGGAUGGUUUAAUGACAUUCAUGUUCCUGUGAGAUUAGAAAGUGUGAAAUUUGCCAGUCAUUGUUUAAUGAAUCACCCAGAUUUAGCGAAGGAUCUCACAGAAUAUUUAAAGGUUAGAUCACAUGAUCCAGAAGAAGCUAUUCAUCAUGAUGUCAUUGUUACUUUAAUAACAGCUGCCAAGAGAGACCUGGCCUUAGUCAACGAUCAGCUGCUUGGCUUUGUAAGGGAAAGAACACUGGAUAAAUGGUGGCAAGUAAGAAAAGAAGCUAGACGGGUCUGGCUCAGCUUUUUAAGAAAUACUGUCUUCAUGGUGAAGCAGGAAAGGAAGCUGCAGAGAAAGUCAACUGGAUAAAGGACAAACCUUUGCAUAUUUAUUAUCAGAACAGCAUUGAUGACAAACUGUUGGUAGAGAAAAUCUUUGCUCAGUAUCUUGUCCCCUACAACCUGGAAACAGAAAAGAGAAUGAAAUGCUUAUAUUACUUAUAUGCUAGUUUGGAUUUAAAUACUGUAAAAACUCUCAAUGAGAUGUGGAAGUGUCAGAACAUGCUUUGGAGUCAUGUACGCGAACUGUUAGAUUUGCACAAGCAGCUUACAUCAGAGGCUAACUGUUCUGCCAUGUUUGGAAAACUGAUGACCAUAGCAAAGAAUUUGCCUGACCCCGGGAAAGCACAAGAUUUUGUGAAGAAAUUUAACCAGGUUCUCGGCGAUGAUGAGAAACUUCGGUCUCAACUGGAGUUAUUAAUCAGCCCAACCUGUUCUUGCAAACAAGCAGAUAUUUGUGUGAGAGAAAUAGCCUGGAAACUUGCAAAUCCUAAGCAACUAACAAAUCCUUUUCUAGAGAAGGUCAAAUUUUCCGUUGGAGAGAAUUGCACCUGUGCACAUUGAUUCAGAAGCCAUGAGUGCACUAAUGAAAUUGAUGAAUAAGUGAAUAGAGGGGACAGCAGAUGAUGAAGAGGAGGGUGUAAGUCCAGAUACAGCUAUCCGUUCAGGACUUGCACUUCUUAAGGUUCUAUCUUUCACAUAUCCUACCUCGUUCCACUCUGCAGAGACAUAUGAGUCUUUGUUACAGUGUCUAAGAAUGGAGGAUGACAAGGUAGCAGAAGCUGCUGUACAAAUUUUUAGAAAUACAGGUCACAAAGUAGAAACAGACCUUCCCUAGAUACGGUCAACCUUAAUUCCCAUUUUACAUCAAAAAGCGAAGAAUACGUCUCGCUUGCAAUUAGCUGCUGGUAGUGCCAUAAUGAAGCUUGCUCAGGAACCUUGUUACCAUGAAAUUAUUACCCCAGAACAGUUUUAGCUCUGUGCACUUGUUAUUAAUGAUGAGUGUUACCAAGUAAGGCAGAUAUUUUCUCAGAAACUGCAUAAAGCACUUGUGAAGUUACUGCUUCCAUUGGAGCAUAUAUCCCAUAUAUGGCGAUAUUUGCCUUGUGUGCCAAAGAUCCUGUGAAGGAGAGAAGUGCACACGCACGACAGUGUUUACCGAAAAAUAUCAAUAUACGCAGGGAAUACAUUAAGCAGAACCCUAUGGCCACUGAGAAAUUAUUAUCACUGUUGCCUGAAUAUGUAGUUCCAUACAUGAUUCACCUGCUGGCCCAUGAUCCAGAUUUUACAAGAUCACAAGAUGCUGAUCAGCUUCAUGAUAUCAAAGAGUGCCUAUGGUUCAUACUUGAAGUUUUAAUGACAAAGAAUGGAAACAAUAGCCAUGCCUUUAUGAAGAAGAUGGCAGAGAACAUCAAGUUACCCAGAGAUGCCCAGUCUCCAGAUGAAUCCCAGACAAAUGAAAAACUGUAUACAGUAUGUGAUGUGAUUCUCUGUGUUAUAAAUAGUAAAAGUGCUUUGUGCAGCGCAGAUUCACCAAAGGACCCAGUCCUCCCAAUGAAAUUUUUUACACAACCUGAAAAGGACUUCUGUAAUGAUAAGAGUUCUAUUUCAGAAGAGACAAGAGUACUUCUGUUAACAGGAAAGCCAAAGCCUACUGAAGUGCUAGGUGCAGUAAACAAACCUUUAUUAGCAACGAGAAGGAAACCCUGUGUUAGAAGCACUGGUACUGAGACUGGAAGCAACGUUAAUGGAAAUUCAGAGCUGAACCCUUCAACUGGAAAUCGAUCACGGGAACAGAGUUCAGAGGCAGCAGAAACUGGAGUUAGUGAAAAUGAAGAGAACCCUGUGAAGAUUACUUCAGUCACACCUGUAACGAAUAUUGACCCAGUAAAGAAUAAGGAAAUCAGUUCUGAUCAGGCUACCCAGGCUACCCACUGCUACAUCAGCAGUGACCAAGGAAAGAAAAGAACAGUAACAGCAGCUUGUGCAGAGAAUAUCCAACAAAAAACAGAUGAGAAAGUAGAUGAAUUUGGACCGCCUGCCCCUUCCACACCCCGGAGAGGACGUUGACCCAAGUCUGAAUUCCGGGCAAUGCAACCCAAAAUAAUGAUCUAAAUAAACCUAUUAACAAGGGAAGGAAGAGAGCUGCAGUGGGUCAGGAGAGCCCUGGGGGUUUGGAAGCAGGUAAUGCCAAAGCACCCAAACUGCAAGAUGUAGCCAAAAAGGCAGCACCAGCAGAAAGACAAAUUGACUUACAAAGGUAA